UCUAACCGCCAGGGAAUUACGAGCCCAAUCUCAAAACCCAAAGGACUUGACGGUGUCCCACCCACCUAGAGGAGCCUGUUCUAUAAUCGACACUCCCCGAUAUACCUUACCCCUUCUAGCAUACCCAGUCUGUAUACCUCCGUCGCAAGCUUACCAUGUGAACGCAAGUGAGCCAAAAGAUUCUAUAUCAACACGUCAGGUCAAGGUGCAACUAACGAAGCGGAAAGCAAUGGGCUACAAUCUCUGCCCACAGAGCACACGAAAAACUGCAUGCAACACAGUAAUGAAGGUGGAUUUAGCAGUAAAAAGAAAACAGAGAGUUCUUUUUAAUCGGGCGCUGGGACGCGU
This 348-nucleotide ribosomal RNA is filed under the name Plethodontohyla tuberata (interior digging frog). RNAcentral's name for it is "partial 12S ribosomal RNA". It matches the Rfam family "Bacterial small subunit ribosomal RNA", at positions 864 to 1384 of the family's 1533-position model. The record is from RNAcentral. Lineage: Eukaryota; Metazoa; Chordata; Amphibia; Anura; Microhylidae.